This 501-nucleotide ribosomal RNA is filed under the name uncultured bacterium. Its description in RNAcentral is "partial 16S ribosomal RNA". It matches the Rfam family "Bacterial small subunit ribosomal RNA", at positions 30 to 523 of the family's 1533-position model. The record is from RNAcentral.
AUUGAACGCUGGCGGCAGGCUUAACACAUGCAAGUCGAGCGGAGAUGAGGUGCUUGCACCUUAUCUUAGCGGCGGACGGGUGAGUAAUGCUUAGGAAUCUGCCUAUUAGUGGGGGACAACAUUCCGAAAGGAAUGCUAAUACCGCAUAAGUCCUACGGGAGAAAGCAGGGGAUCUUCGGACCUUGCGCUAAUAGAUGAGCCUAAGUCGGAUUAGCUGGUUGGUGGGGUAAAGGCCUACCAAGGCGACGAUCUGUAGCGGGUCUGAGAGGAUGAUCCGCCACACUGGGACUGAGACACGGCCCAGACUCCUACGGGAGGCAGCAGUGGGGAAUAUUGGACAAUGGGGGGAACCCUGAUCCAGCCAUGCCGCGUGUGUGAAGAAGUCCUUAUGGUUGUAAAGCACUUUAAGCGAGGAGGAGGCUACUGAGACUAAUACUCUUGGAUAGUGGACGUUACUCGCAGAAUAAGCACCGGCUAACUCUGUGCCAGCAGCCGCCGUAA